CCAUUGUUACACCUACUGUCACAUGUCACUGGUGGCAGAGAGGUGUCACAGGGGACAGCCUGCUGUGAGCACCUACGGGUGGAACAAGCCUGUCACCCUAAAGGUGUCUGGAAUGGGGAGGAGCUGUUCAGCCCCUCCUGCACAUCCUCUCCUCCUCUCUGGCUGCACAAGGAGAAUUUCCCUGCAUGACAUUACCACCCUGAGUGCAGACACACUGAACAGAGGAAGGACAAUUCUAGCUCGGAGCUGAGGCAGGACCUGGCGUCAAGCCAUAGGAUGAGAAGAGGAGAAACUGUGAGGAAGAAGGCCCAGCAGUAAAUAAAGCACAAGUGAACUGCUCUCUCAUGCUUUUAUAGCCACAGUCUCAAACUCCUGCAUGUCCCUGAUGUGAAAGAGCUUUGUCUCAGGACACGUGACACAGCAUUCCCAGGACAUCGAGCCAGAAAAAGGGGCACUUUCUAGGGGGGCUCCAUAAGGCAGCAUCCCACUGCACACCUCACACAGCUGCUGUAGCCUCUGGCAUGUGGGCCAUGGGCAUGCAGCAUGCAGGCACCAUGGCUCUGUGCUGAGGGGCUCGACACCAUUCUGGGGCAAGA
Molecule: long non-coding RNA, 596 nt
Organism: Columba livia (rock pigeon)
Lineage: Eukaryota; Metazoa; Chordata; Aves; Columbiformes; Columbidae
Exons: 3
Source: RefSeq, a predicted model, not a curated record